This 125-nucleotide microRNA precursor is filed under the name Brassica napus (rape). Its description in RNAcentral is "MIR9563 microRNA precursor family". It matches the Rfam family "MIR9563 microRNA precursor family". The record is from Rfam by way of RNAcentral. Lineage: Eukaryota; Viridiplantae; Streptophyta; Magnoliopsida; Brassicales; Brassicaceae.
GGAAUAUAAGAACCCGUCUCUUAACUUUUAACUAAAAAAGCUAAGAACCGGCUCUUAAAUAAGAGUUUUAAGAGCCGGUUCUUAAUUUUUUUAGUUAAAAGUUAAGAGACGGGUUCUUAUAUUCC